UUCUGAUUGCUUCAUAAUCAGUAAAGCCUGCUCAAUGAAUUUUAAAUAGCCGCGACUUACGUGCUAAGGUAGCAUAAUCAAUUGCCUUCUAAUUAAAGGCUGGAAUGAAAGGCUCAACAAAUAAAAUUCUUUAUUGAUAAUAUUUCUUUAAACUAAUUUAUAAAUAAAAAAGUUUAUAUAUAUAAGGAGGACGACAAGACCCUAUCGAGCUUUACUUUUUAGUUUCACUGGGGAGGUGAAAUAAUAAAAUCUUUUUAUAUUUCUAUAAAAAAAUAAUACAGAAAGAACUUUGAACUAGCUACCGUAGGGAUAACAGCACAAUUAAUUUUAGAAGAUCUUAUUUUAAAAUUAGAUUAUGACCUCGAUGUUGAAUUAAAGUACCUUUAGGAGAAAAAGCUUAAAAGGAAAGUCUGUUCGACUUUUAAAACUUU
RNAcentral lists this ribosomal RNA (431 nucleotides) under Conothele sp. MYG282. RNAcentral's name for it is "partial 16S ribosomal RNA". It matches the Rfam family "Bacterial large subunit ribosomal RNA", at positions 1832 to 2597 of the family's 2925-position model. Lineage: Eukaryota; Metazoa; Arthropoda; Arachnida; Araneae; Ctenizidae. The record is from RNAcentral.